GCUCACAGCCAUACCACCUUGAACCCACCCGAUCUCAUCUGAUCUCGGAAGCUAAGCAGGGUCGGGCCUGGUUAGUACUUGAAUGGGAAAAUACCUGGGAAUACCAGGAGGUGUAAGCU
Molecule: ribosomal RNA, 119 nt
Filed under: Amphilophus citrinellus (Midas cichlid)
Lineage: Eukaryota; Metazoa; Chordata; Actinopteri; Cichliformes; Cichlidae
Source: RNAcentral